CUUAUUGUCAGUGGGAAAAGGUUCCAGAGUUCAAGAGUCACGACUUGUCGCUGUUCUUCGAGGAUUGUGGGUGGGAUUUGGUUGAGAGAAUAAAGAAUUGCAGGCUGUCGGAUUGUAGGUGGCAUCUGGGACCGCAAAUCCCUGGAGAAAUGUCUGAAAGGUAGGCCCUUUUAACCAUUUUUAAUGUGUUUUUCACAUUUGUAAGUAAAAACUUGUUUGUUUGUUUUUUUGCAUUUACCCUUUCAAGAAUUAUUUUGGCUUACAUAAUUUGAGGCACGAAUGUGGUCCAACUCUAGCUUUUGUGUAUAUAGUCUUGCUUUGUUUUUAAAUUAUUUUGGAUUACAUAAUUUGAGGCAUGGAUGUGGUCUAACGUUGUUGUACAAUCUCACUCCAUGUUAUUGAUAUCGGCUCACAUUUCUUUUUCGUCUGUUCUAUCGAUAGUCUGAAAAUAUGGCAGAUCCAAAUAGUUUGAAAAUAUAACCCGUCUGUCAUCGACUUCCUUGAAUUCUGAUUUGCGGUAAAAUCUGAAUUAACAAAGCCAACUAACAAACCAUCUUUAUUAGCUACAGAUUUCUUGAAAAUAAUGUCCACUUCAACAUUUCCUUUCAGAUACCUCAAAAUCCAUUUUAGUGCAUUCCAGUGCAGCUUUCUAAGUUCAACCAUGUAUCUGCUAACCACACUUAUUAAGUGUGCAAGAUUUGGUCUUGUACAGACCAUAGUGUACAUGACACUUCCCACUAUGUUUGCAUAUGGAAUCUUCGAUCUCCAUCUCAUUUCUUUCUUCAUUAGUAAAGGGUUUUUAAUUAACAGACAAUUUAAAAUGUGUAGCUAAACGAACUGUAACUGACGUUGACUCGUUCAUAUGAUAUCUUCUUAGAACUUUGAGUAUAUACUCUCUCUGAUUUAGCCACAAACAACUCCGUUUUUUGUCUCUAAGAAUGUCCAUCCCAAGAAUCAUUCUUACACAGUGUUGUUUGUUGGCCCAAUAGCCCAAUAAGCCAAUCCUCUAUCUUGUAUUUGGCAGCUCCCAUUCUUUCCCAGUUCUUAAUUUUGUGCCCUAGCGGCGCACUUUUUUCCUUCUCUGCAACUUUCCUUUUGCAGCAACUUUCAAAUUUGAAGGAGCCCACUGUUGCAGUUGUAAAAGGGUCGAGUUAAUGAAAAGAGAGAUAGCUUUGUGUUCUUCCCUUUAUGCUUGCUGCAACUUUGUAUUUAUUUUGAUGAAGAAAUCUUUUGAAGAAUCUCCAAUUGAAGAAGAAGAAGAGAAUGUGUAUCUAGUCAUGAGUUCAUCUUCCAAUAUACGAUGCAACAUAUAUUAUGCUCCUUGAUAAGAGCCUAAACUAUCAAUUAUGUCCUAGAUAUGAGUAACAACUAUCUAAAAGAAUCAUCCAAGUUGAAGACUCCUUGACACGAGUAUAAAAUGUCCACAAAUUUAAAUUCAAGUGAAAUACUUCUUGACACGAAUAUAAAAUGUCUACAAAUUCAAAUUCAAUUGAAAGACUCCUUGACACGAGUAUAAAAUGUCUACAAAUUCAAAUUCAAAUGUACACUCCUAGACACGAGUAUAAAAGGUUUCCAAAUUCAAAGUCCCUAUCUAUUAUACUCCUUGACACGAGUAUAAAUGUCUACAAAUUCAAAUUGAAGACUUCUUGAUACGAGCAUAAACUAUCCAAAUUCAAAUUCAAAUUGAAAAACUCUUGAAUAUGAGUAUAAAUUAUUCACAAGUUUGAAUCCAAGAACUCCAUGAUAUGAGUAUAAACUGUCUAAUAAAUUCAAAAUUAUCGAGACUCGUUCAUUUCCACGACAAGUCGUCCAUGAACAAGUCACAAGGGGACAUUUGUAGGCACAUGAUUUUUACUAAAUAUUUAUUGAUUUUAUAUUUUAUUUAUUUUGGAAAUCUUAUUCAAUAUAUAUAUGAUAAAUUAUUGAUAAAGAUAUUACCAUAAGAUAGAGAUCAAUUUCUUUAGCAGCAAGUCAAAUCUUAAUAUUGAUAUAUAUCAAUCUUCAAGGGCCAAUAGGAUCGUGCCACGUCAGCCCUAGGCCAAUAAUCAUGUGGGCUCAAGGCCAAAGCCUGACUCUUCCUACAACUAUAAAUAGGGGUCUCCACGUCAGUUAUAAACACACAAAAUCAUAAUUCAAGAGCUCAAGAAUGGGAAAAGAAUUCUCUACAACGAAGUUCUCUCCAAUACUCAAGGUGUCCCAUCGAGAUUCAAGGCGUUCUUCACGAAAGCAGUUCAAAGCUCAAGUCAAGUCCAGCGUUCGAUCCGGAAACAAGGCGAGAGUCAUCCACGUAGGCGUUAUAAAGCUUGAAGCUCGGCACAUACUUUGGAAGCAAGCCGAAGCCCUCCACAUCGGCGUAUACUGAAUUUGGAAGCAAGGCGUAAUCCUCCACGUCGGCAUAUACUUUGGAAUUAAAGAUCAAGUCAAGCUCAACAUAUGUUUGGGAAACAUGAUGAAGUCCUCUACGUCAACGUUAUAAAGCUCGAAGCUCAACGUAUACUUGGAAACAAGUCAAAGUCUUCCAUGUCAAUGUUAAUUAUAAAGCUUGAAGAUGAAGUCCAAGAAGAUCGAGGGUAUAUUUUUCCAACAAAUCUCAAUGACUAACCAUCCAAGAAUCAACUUGAAAAGAAGAAUCAUAGGAACAAAUAGAGAUAACAAUCCACACAAAUACAUUUGAUCUAUAAAUAUUAUAUUUGUACGUAAUUUUGUAUUUAUUAAAUUAAAUACAUAAAUGUGUGUUUACAAAGGUUGAUUUGGAACUUGUAUUGACCCAGGAAACAUUAAUCUAUGUAUACUUUAGUUAUGAGUGUUUUGGAUAGUAUUUUCCUAAAAUUACAAAAUCAUAAUUUUAAAUGAUGUCCCAAAACCUAGUGCCCACCUACAAAAACAAACUUCAUAAUUUUGCACGAUUUUGUUCUGCAUUUUUGUGUUUGUGCAAUGGAUUUGGUCCAGUCUGCCAAAUAAUUGAUAAUUUAAUUUCUCAGAGGAAAGAACAGUUUUACAGAUUUUUGAGCUGUAUUUUUUUUUAUAUAUACAUAAUUUGUGUCGGAAAUGCAUUUUUUAUAAUAUACAUAUAGCUAGGUGAGGGCAAUGUUCAGUUCUAACUUUAUGUAUAUGAUAGUUAGGACAGAUAUCGGAUCAUUUUCUAUUGUUUGUCGGCUUUCCAGGUGGUUAAUAAACGUGUUAAGUUCUAAUUAGUUUAUUUCCUAUGAACCAUAUUGUAUUAAAUUAUCAUUUUAUUUUGUUUUAGUUGGAGACAAAAAGGCAAUUUGUUUGGAGAUAAAAUUCAAGCAUGUUUAUUUAGUCAGGUGAUGAAAAUUGGAAUUGACAUCAUAAUAUAUGAAAAAGAAGAAUACCAGUCUGAAUUAUAAUGAAAUAAACACCUUAAUUUUGCUUGAAAGACAAUGAAAAUUAUGAAAAUAAUCUUCUCAUUCAAUUCAAUAGCAUAUCGUGUACGUGCAACUUCAAUGUGAAGAAUCAAUAUUUUUUUUUCAAACGACGAGAGAAUCGAUGAUUAAAUAGGAGACUCAUAAUAUUUUGUUCAUAGGUAUGUUCAUCAUCUUGAUAUCUUGAAUAAGACGAUCGAAAUCCAGAGAGGAAGAGCCGCCCGGGCCCACGCUGGAGUGAGCCAGUUUGGCCAUGGCAUG
This 3644-nucleotide long non-coding RNA is filed under the name Salvia miltiorrhiza (redroot sage). RNAcentral describes it as "long non-coding RNA (SMIL_LNC007746)". Lineage: Eukaryota; Viridiplantae; Streptophyta; Magnoliopsida; Lamiales; Lamiaceae. The record is from RNAcentral.